UAACUGCGAGUGAAGCGGGAAAAGCUCAAAUUUAAAAUCUGGCGGUCUUAUGGCCGUCCGAGUUGUAAUCUGGAGAAGUGUUUUCCGCGUCGGACCGUGUACAAGUCUCCUGGAACGGAGCGUCAUAGAGGGUGAGAAUCCCGUCCAUGACACGGACCGCCGAUGCUUUGUGAUACACUCUCGAAGAGUCGAGUUGUUUGGGAAUGCAGCUCAAAAUGGGUGGUAAAUUCCAUCUAAAGCUAAAUAUUGGCGAGAGACCGAUAGCGAACAAGUACCGUGAGGGAAAGAUGAAAAGCACUUUGGAAAGAGAGUUAAACAGUACGUGAAAUUGUUGAAAGGGAAACGCUUGAAGUCAGUCGCGUCUUUCAGAACUCAGCCUUGCUUCGGCCUGGUGUACUUUCUGUUAGACGGGUCAACGUCAAUUUCGAUCGGCGGAGAAAGGUUGAGGGAAUGUAGCGUUGUUUCGGCGACGUGUUAUAGCCCUCUUCUGUAUACGUCGGCUGGGAUUGAGGACCGCAGCGCGCCUUUAAUGGCCAGGGGUUCGCCCCAUGUACCGCGCUUAGGAUGUUGGCAUAAUGGCUUUAAGCGACCCGUCUUGAAACACGGACCAAGGAGUCUAACAUGCUUGCGAGUAUUCGGGUGGAAAACCCUUGUGCGUAAUGAAAGUAAAAGUUGGGAGCCUCCGCGAGGGGGUGCACCGACGCCCGGCCCUGACGUUCUCUGACGGUGCUGCGGUAGAGCAAGUAUGUUGGGACCCGAAAGAUGGUGAACUAUGCCUGAAUAGGGCGAAGCCAGAGGAAACUCUGGUGGAGGCUCGUAGCGAUUCUGACGUGCAAAUCGAUCGUCAAAUUUGGG
Molecule: ribosomal RNA, 855 nt
Filed under: Porodaedalea pini
Lineage: Eukaryota; Fungi; Basidiomycota; Agaricomycetes; Hymenochaetales; Hymenochaetaceae
Description: partial large subunit ribosomal RNA
Rfam family: Eukaryotic large subunit ribosomal RNA
Source: RNAcentral